Molecule: ribosomal RNA, 29 nt
Filed under: Cronartium ribicola
Lineage: Eukaryota; Fungi; Basidiomycota; Pucciniomycetes; Pucciniales; Coleosporiaceae
Description: partial 5.8S ribosomal RNA
Source: RNAcentral
UCAUGAAACCCUCUCAUUCUAAUUCUUUA